Molecule: unclassified non-coding RNA, 3304 nt
Filed under: Stegodyphus dumicola
Lineage: Eukaryota; Metazoa; Arthropoda; Arachnida; Araneae; Eresidae
Description: adenylate cyclase type 2-like, transcript variant X9
Source: RNAcentral
CAAGAUAGUAAGGCAAUCAGCUUUCGAUCAUAGUCAAUGGUCAUACGGAUCAAAGAUCGCGCAUGCUAUCUGUAAGAAGAAAGAAAUUUUGAUUGCAAUGAAAGCGAAGGGAAGUUCGGAUUUACAUUAGAUGUGUGAAUGUCCGGAUUAGAACUAGUAGCUAGGGACAGUGCGUCUCAAAUCGAGAAAAAUGCCGAAGCUGCUGCUAACUACUUUUCUGAAGUUUAUAACAGAGAUGACGAUGAGAGAAACUGGUCUUUCUCAUACCUUAAGGAGCAACUUCUUUUCAAAGAAUCUCAGCAACUUUUCAGGAGAUACCAAGACCGGGUGCAACAUGCUCUUUUCCUGGAACUUCUGGUCUUUAAUCUGGUGUACAAUGCACUUUCCUUCCUAGCAUUCACGUUCCUUCCAUCUCAGGAGGAGCUUUCAGAAGUUUCCCGUGGAACAGUACAAACUGGACAAUGGUGUAGGAGUACAAUCUUAAUAGUACAGUUUUGCAUCUUUGUGGCUGCGUACAAAGAGAGUUUGUUCCGAAAUCCAGCUUCUAAAAUAGUAGUUGCGUGUAUUGUUCUUUUCUGCAUGAGCUUAGGAGAAAUGGCAACUACUAUUUACAGAUUAUAUGCAGGCCACCCAGAAUCCUUGAUAAGACAUACUUAUUAUGUCGUACUGACAACGGGCGUCUUACUACCAUUUCCUCGGAAGUUGUACAGUGGAAUAUUAGCCGCAGCAGUCAUUGCGGUGGACCUCAUGCUAUCCAGUCUUAGCUCCUCGCAUAAAGAGAAUAUAAUUACUGUGUUGUGUGCUGAUGCUGUGUUUUACGCCACGACUCUUUCUGUUGGCUUAUUCAUUCGAUACCUCAUCGAAAUCAUGAGCAGAAGAGCAUUUUUAGAUAGAAGGGAAUGCAUUGAAUCAAGAAUUAAAAUCGAAACUGAAAAGAAUCAGCAGGAAAAGUUCUUGCAAAGUAUUUUGCCCCAUCAUAUAGCAAGCGAGGUGCGUGAGGACAUCCGAAAGGUGAUCAAAAACAUGAAUCGACUACAUAUGACUCAUAAACCAUUUAACAAACUCUAUGUGGAAAAGCAUAAGGAUGUUAGCGUAUUAUAUGCUGAUAUCGUGAAUUCUAUGCUUUUGGGUGCAAGCCUUAAGGUAUCUGAUUUGGUAGAAACUCUGAACGACCUUUUUGGACGGUUCGAUUAUUCUGCAGAAAACAAUGGCUGUAUGAGAAUCAAGUUGCUUGGCGACUGUUACUAUUGUGUCAGUGGAGUACCAUACAGAAACCCUAGGCAUGCGGAUAAUUGCGUAGUGACCGGCCUUGAAAUGAUCGAUAUAAUUAGAAGUGUUCGUGAAAAACGUUGCAUCAAUGUAGAUAUGAGGAUUGGUAUUCAUACAGGUAAUAUAUUUGGAGGCUUGCUGGGACUCCGAAAAUGGCAGUUCGAUAUCUGGUCUAAAGACGUUACUAUUGCGAGUCACAUGGAACAAGCAGGUGUACCAGGCCAGGUUCAUAUUACGAAGAAGACGAGAAUUAAUUUAUUGGACGAUGGGUACGACAUCAGACCAGGAAAUGGGCACUUACGAGAUCCAUAUUUGCAGAAAGAGCAGAUUGAGACAUUCCUCAUAAGACCCUUCAAUACAGGAAAGGAGACCAGUGGAUCACAUCUUUCUACACCUAAAGCUGACAAAUACAGUAAUGGAAUUUACUUACAAAGGCAAACCUCAGUGACGAACGUCAGAUCCAAUAUUCAAAGAUUGUCCAGUAGGCAAUCAAGCAGCGAGACGAUUUUACCAAUGUCCAGAAGAGGAGCUCUUGGUUACAGCCUCCUUCGAUACCGCAAGAUGGUGAGUCAAGUGAAUAAAAUUUUAGAGAACACCAUUGACAAGAUGGCUCUCAGCAAACGAGACCAGUGGUUCUCCAGAAUUGGCAUUCAGCCACUUUUACUCACAUUUCGAGAACCUGGAACUGAAAAACCUUAUCUUAACCAGCCAGAUCCUUUGUUUAAAUAUUAUUUGCUGUGCAUGCUAUUUAUCUUUGGAGGCAUAACCGUCAUACAUCUGCUCAUCAUGUCCGAAACCGUGGAAUUCUGGGUCACUUACGGUGUCGCUUUACUGCUGAUACUUGCAGCCUGCAUUCCGUCAUGGACCGGUUACAUCUGGCUAUGCUUGAAGAAAGAUGAUACCGAUCCUGUUCUGAAUUCUACUGCUCUGAAGAUAUCCAGAAAGGUGUGGAAAACAACCUCCGUGCGAGUAGCUAUAUGGCUAGCGAUCUCUAGUACUAUACUGUUUUGUUCAAUAGCAGGACUGAAUGAAUGCCUGGACGAAGGCAUCUUCCAGAUUUCUAAACACCAUAACGCUUCCAUGAACGAAACCAGUAAAAUCACACACCACGACCUGAGCUGCCAGUAUCCAUGGUUUUACACACUUUGUGCUGCUCUUGCCAUGACAACUACGUCUGUUUUCUUACGAAUUCAUUUCUUGAUGAAGCUUACAUUAAAUAGCAUAUCACUGGCUGCCUUCUGGUACAUUAUGGAUAUUCGAGGGGAAGAAGUCUUUCGGCAACGGACCGCAAAGCUCGCUGAUUGGUCAGUGGAAGAAUUUGGCCUUCCGGCUGAUCGCAGUCAUUGUUAUUAUCUUACUUUUGUCCUGCUCAUCUUGCACGUUUUGGACAGACAGGUUGAAUAUGUGUGCCGCCUGGAUUAUCUCAUGAAGGUGAAGCUAAAAGCGGAGCAAGAGGAAGCUCGAACAAUGGAACUCGUCAACCGCAUGUUGCUUUUCAACAUUUUGCCGCCGCAUGUAUCACAAUAUUAUCUUAGCAAGCAGCUUGAGGAAGAAAACUCACGAGUCGAGGUAUUCGGGUGGGGAUCAUUCGCCAUCGCACAUGGAAGCGGUGUAGCACCAGGGUGCCUAGUCAUCGCUACAUAUGUUGGAAUCCACAGCAGGUGUUACAGACACAUUGAGAUGAAUCAAGCGGUGAAAUGGCAGCGAAACAAGGAACUAUUUGCUGGAUGUGGAGUGGAUAAAAUCUGUCCUAUCAUGAAAAUCACUCUGCUGUUGCAGUGUUGUUUGCAUCCAUUCCAAACUUUGCUGAUUUUUACUACGAGGAUGGAGAAAACGAGGAAGGAUUACGUUGCAUUCAACUCCUGAAUGAAAUUAUAUGCGAUUUCGAUCUCGUAAUUAUUAUAUGAGAGAGGAUUUCAUUCAGUAGAAAAAAUCAAGACAAUAGGUAGCACUUAUAUGGCUGCUUGUGGGCUUCGGAGCCAGGAAAAGGGAUCUCUGUUUACGGAAGAAAAUCCCACACAGAAUGUAGUAACAC